UACGUAGGGGGCUAGCGUUGUCCGGAAUCAUUGGGCGUAAAGAGCGUGUAGGCGGUCCGGUAAGUCCGCUGUGAAAGUCGGGGGCUCAACCCUCGAAUGCCGGUGGAUACUGUCGGGCUAGAGUGCGGAAGAGGCGAGUGGAAUUCCUGGUGUAGCGGUGAAAUGCGUAGAUAUCGGGAGGAACACCAGAGGCGAAGGCGGCUUUCUGGCUGCUAACUGACGCUGAGGCGCGAAGGCUGGGGUAGCGAACAGA
This 253-nucleotide ribosomal RNA is filed under the name uncultured bacterium. Its description in RNAcentral is "partial 16S ribosomal RNA". It matches the Rfam family "Bacterial small subunit ribosomal RNA", at positions 524 to 776 of the family's 1533-position model. The record is from RNAcentral.